AGUGAACGCUGGCGGUAGGCCUAACACAUGCAAGUCGAACGGCAGCACAGUAAGAGCUUGCUCUUACGGGUGGCGAGUGGCGGACGGGUGAGGAAUACAUCGGAAUCUACUUUUUCGUGGGGGAUAACGUAGGGAAACUUACGCUAAUACCGCAUACGACCUACGGGUGAAAGCAGGGGAUCUUCGGACCUUGCGCGAUUGAAUGAGCCGAUGUCGGAUUAGCUAGUUGGCGGGGUAAAGGCCCACCAAGGCGACGAUCCGUAGCUGGUCUGAGAGGAUGAUCAGCCACACUGGAACUGAGACACGGUCCAGACUCCUACGGGAGGCAGCAGUGGGGAAUAUUGGACAAUGGGCGCAAGCCUGAUCCAGCCAUGCCGCGUGGGUGAAGAAGGCCUUCGGGUUGUAAAUCCCUUCUGUUGGGAAAGAAAAGCAGCGGGUUAAUACCGCGCUGUUCUGACGGUACCCAAAGAAUAAGCACCGGCUAACUUCGUG
Molecule: ribosomal RNA, 492 nt
Filed under: uncultured bacterium
Lineage: Bacteria
Description: partial 16S ribosomal RNA
Rfam family: Bacterial small subunit ribosomal RNA
Source: RNAcentral